Molecule: ribosomal RNA, 441 nt
Filed under: uncultured bacterium
Lineage: Bacteria
Description: partial 16S ribosomal RNA
Rfam family: Bacterial small subunit ribosomal RNA
Source: RNAcentral
CCUACGGGAGGCAGCAGUGGGGAAUAUUGCACAAUGGGGGGCACCCUGAUGCAGCGACGCCGCGUGGGUGAAGGAGUAUUUCGGUAUUUAAAGCCCUCUCAGCAGGGAAGCACAAUGACGGUACCUUACUCAGAAGCACCUGCUAAAUCCGUACCCGCAGCCGCGGUAAUACGUAUGGUGCAAGCGUUAUCCGGCUUUACUGGGUGUAAAGGGAGCGCAGGCGGCGGGUUAAGCCUGGUGUGAAAGUCCGCGGCCCAACCGCGGGACUGCAUUGGGAACUGUCGCGCUGGAGUGCCGGAGGGGUAGGCGGAAUGCCUAGUGUAGCGGUGAAAUGCGUAGAUAUUAGGAGGAACACCAGUGGCGAAGGCGGCCUACUGGACGGUGACUGACGCUGAGGCUCGAAAGCGUGGGGAGCAAACAGGAUUAGAUACCCUGGUAGUC